GGUCAGUGAUGUGAUGUAAAAGGUCUGAACUCGGGUCCCCCCGCAGCCUCUGGCUCCCAGCAGCCCCGGUUCUCUGCUCCCAUCAUGCUCUAGUGCUGCAGCGUGGGCGCCGUGCUGCUGACAGACAGGAAAUGACAUCACAGUGUGAGUCCGUACAGAGAGCGUACAGCCUCGGUGUGAUGUCAUCCAACAGAACCAAUCAGAAAGGAGCGUGAGGCUGAGGGGGCGUGGCCUGAGUGUUGAUCUCACUCUGUGACUGAGACC
Centropristis striata (black sea bass) is the source of this 264-nucleotide non-coding RNA. RefSeq annotates it as small Cajal body-specific RNA 6. The transcript has a single exon. The record is from RefSeq and is a predicted model, not a curated record. NCBI's taxonomy places the organism in Eukaryota, Metazoa, Chordata, Actinopteri, Perciformes, Serranidae.